Molecule: ribosomal RNA, 253 nt
Filed under: uncultured bacterium
Lineage: Bacteria
Description: partial 16S ribosomal RNA
Rfam family: Bacterial small subunit ribosomal RNA
Source: RNAcentral
CACGUAGGGUGCGAGCGUUGUCCGGAAUUAUUGGGCGUAAAGAGCUCGUAGGCGGCUUGUCGCGUCGUCCGUGAAAACCUGGGGCUCAACUCCAGGCUUGCGGUCGAUACGGGCAGGCUCGAGUUCGGUAGGGGAGACUGGAAUUCCAGGUGUAGCGGUGAAAUGCGUAGAUAUCUGGAGGAACACCGGUGGCGAAGGCGGCAUCCUGGGCCGGUAUUGACGCUGAGGAGCGAAAGCGUGGGGAGCGAACAGG